This 450-nucleotide long non-coding RNA is filed under the name Physcomitrium patens. Its description in RNAcentral is "long non-coding RNA (PPAT_LNC001814)". Lineage: Eukaryota; Viridiplantae; Streptophyta; Bryopsida; Funariales; Funariaceae. The record is from RNAcentral.
GAUCGGUGACUGCGACUAGAUAGAGCACUUUUAUAACUACACUUUUUGCAUACUGCUUGCUGGAUUCCAAGUUGGAAUAAAGGAGAUAUUGGAAUUUAAAGUCAGCGUAUGUAACCUAAGGAUAGUAAGUAAUCCGAUUUACUAGUAGUUGUAUCUUGAACUAUAUCUUGAAUAAUUUGAUAAGGUUUUGGCUCAAAAUUUUAGAAAAUAUGUGUAUUCAUGUUAGUAAAUAUUGUACAUAAGUUUGAUGACAUUUGAGUAUUGGAUUCUUGAGUUAUUAAGAAAAUAGUGCUCAGGUGCUUGUAAAUUAGGGUUUAGAGCAUCUGUUAGGAUUUUUUAGAUGCUAGAAGAUCGGAAAUGAAUUUGUAGUUGGUUGUUUUUGUGAUAAAACGUAAGGGUGAAUUCUACCUAUUCUAUAAAAUUGAGAUAAACUGAAUGGUUAGAUCAAGA